This 386-nucleotide long non-coding RNA is filed under the name Homo sapiens (human). RNAcentral describes it as "non-protein coding JRKL-AS1:2". Lineage: Eukaryota; Metazoa; Chordata; Mammalia; Primates; Hominidae. The record is from RNAcentral.
GCUGCUUCCUGCUGAAUAGGGGCACUGUAGUCAGGGUUUGGGUUUUGAAGUACUGCGUGUCGUCUUCAGAGUUGUUUUCCUGGAGGCGCUGAUACCGGACUUGGUGGAGAAGGAUGGUAUGAAUGUGUUUCUAGGUGGCUGCCUGGACAAGGGAGUUCAGCCUUUGGGAGAUAAAGCAGAAUAUAAAGUUCACAGAUCUAUGGAUAGCAGGAGCCACAUCUGGACCUGUGGCUCUGCUCUCAUCUCUGCAAUUUAGAAACCACCAUGAAUUAUCAAAAAUCCUAGACUCUGAUUUGAUGUUAUGAAUGGAUAAAACUUUUCUAUUUUCUCCAAUGGGAAGACAGAGAAUAUAUGUUGCUUGCAAGAAAGAAUAAAGCAAAUAUUUG